GCUCAGAUUGAACGCUGGCGGCAGGCCUAACACAUGCAAGUCGAGCGGUAGAGAGAAGCUUGCUUCUCUUGAGAGCGGCGGACGGGUGAGUAAUGCCUAGGAAUCUGCCUGGUAGUGGGGGAUAACGUUCGGAAACGAACGCUAAUACCGCAUACGUCCUACGGGAGAAAGCAGGGGACCUUCGGGCCUUGCGCUAUCAGAUGAGCCUAGGUCGGAUUAGCUAGUUGGUGAGGUAAUGGCUCACCAAGGCGACGAUCCGUAACUGGUCUGAGAGGAUGAUCAGUCACACUGGAACUGAGACACGGUCCAGACUCCUACGGGAGGCAGCAGUGGGGAAUAUUGGACAAUGGGCGAAAGCCUGAUCCAGCCAUGCCGCGUGUGUGAAGAAGGUCUUCGGAUUGUAAAGCACUUUAAGUUGGGAGGAAGGGCAUUAACCUAAUACGUUAGUGUUUGACGUACCGACAG
Molecule: ribosomal RNA, 465 nt
Filed under: Pseudomonas sp. R-45809
Lineage: Bacteria; Pseudomonadati; Pseudomonadota; Gammaproteobacteria; Pseudomonadales; Pseudomonadaceae
Description: bacterial SSU rRNA
Rfam family: Bacterial small subunit ribosomal RNA
Source: RNAcentral